Molecule: RNA transcript, 1090 nt
Organism: Sus scrofa (pig)
Lineage: Eukaryota; Metazoa; Chordata; Mammalia; Artiodactyla; Suidae
Source: RefSeq, a predicted model, not a curated record
CAAGAAAUAGCAACAACAACAAAAAGACAAAAAAAGAAAAAAAAAAAGAAAACAAGGACACAGUUCCUCACCCCCACGGUCCACACGGACCAGGACUGGCUAUGUCUGCCUUGGGCCCAGAACCAUCCAGGUGUCAGGAACACCCUGCCAUCUCCCCAUCUGUGGCUGUCAGGCAUCAGGAUGGAGACUCGCUGGGUAAACCAGAGGGGUCCUAGGAGGGAAAUUGGCCAUGUGGCCAUCUGCCCUGUGCUGGGGAAGUGCCCGCAGGAAAAUGAGGACCUCCCCCCUUUUGGCAGGGUUCUGCCAAGUCCAGGAAUGGAAAGAAGGGUUCAUCACUCCUUUCACUCCUCAUGUUUCAUGUGUCACCAGAUCCUGCUGAGGGGACCACAUGGACCUAGGUACAUCCCCACCUCCACCACCCUGACCCAACCACCAUUGCCUCCGGCCUUGGAAGUUCAAGUGCAUGCAACCUGAUCCUUCUAAAUACAUUGGAAGGGGCAGUCUGCAUCAUUGCCAUCAUGAUUUCUUGAACACCUACUUUGUGCACAAGCCAUAUCCUGGGAGGAUGGAGACCCUAAAAGGCACCCAGGCUGCAAGGCCCAAGUUGUGCAUCAUCGAUACAAUCAUCUCUGCUACGCACUGCGAGCCCACUGUGUGCCUGCCCUGCCUGCUCGUCACUCUGACCCUCACAGCAACUGUACAGGCAUUCCAGAAAGGGAAGCCGGUGGUACAAGUUGAAGACAGCAGAGAAGGACUUUCCAGAGAGGGGAAUUUAGGAUUGGUUUUUGGAGAAUGCACCAACAGGGUAAGGAAAACUUGUGAGGUGAGAGGAAUUCAACCUAGUCCAAUAAAUAAACUAGUGGCUGGCACACUGUUUCCACACCCCCACCCCCUGUUGAGUGAAUCCCAUUUGAGAUGCUUGUCCAUCAUCUGUGGGUGGAGGGCAAAGUGAAGCCAGAAAUGGAGUGAGGAGCCCCCUUGAUAACCAUGAACAAUGAGACUGGAGGUGCAAGAAAAGGUUCUGCCCUGGCUUUCUCUCCUCCUCUCUCCCUCCUGCAGCUGGCAAGUGGUACUUGGCCCUGCAGUGAGU